This 486-nucleotide long non-coding RNA is filed under the name Ursus maritimus (polar bear). RNAcentral's name for it is "lncRNA (ENSUMAG00000023375.1)". Lineage: Eukaryota; Metazoa; Chordata; Mammalia; Carnivora; Ursidae. The record is from RNAcentral.
UGAAGAUGUAUUUUUGAAAAGAUUUAUUUAUUUAUUUUAGAGAGAGAGAGCACAAGCAAGAGGGGCAGAAGGAGAGGGAGAGAGAAUCUCAAGCAAACUCCCUAUGAGUGCAGAACCUGACAUGGGGCUCAAUCUCACAACCCUGAUAUCACAAUCCUGAGAUCGUGACCUGAGCUGAAAAUCAAGAGUUGAAUGCUUAACCAUCUACACCACCCGAACCUCCUACUAAUGAAGAUAUUUUUAAAAGUCAAGAUCGACUAAACCUAAGAUCGAAGAAACCUGAAAGAAAAUGAGAAGUUUGUCUUUUUCAUGGAGAAGGAGAUGUUUGGAGCAUCAUGGAUGUGAUGACUGCAGACCUAGUGGUGACCUUGUCCUCUACGCUAUCGAGACACUAGAGAGAGUAACGCAGAGGCCAGAGAGAAGUAGCAGAGACAGCAUCAUGGAAGGGUGAGUCCCGUCCCCUGUCCCCAACGUUUCCAGUUACUG